UUUUUUUUUUACUAAAAGAAUAAAUUUUAUUUCAGCACUGUAAGUCGUUUCUCAACCGUACAAACACGACCACCAUCUUUACAUCAUCAAGCCUCUCCUCCUGUUCCAGUCUUCCUUUGUGAAAUCACUUCCUCCACAGCCAGACGAAUAUAAAAGGGCUCUCUCCACAACAUUCUGGUGCUUCCAUUUUAGCUAACGAUGACAAAUUAUACCGAUCAUAAUUAUAACAGCAAUAAUAGUAGUGAUGAAGAUGAACCUUUUACUGCACUGUUGUUUUGAGGGGGAGGGGCUUACAGUACAUGAUACAGUACACAUUACUGCUGGUUUACAGUUGAUGUAUUACAUGUGUUACAGUUGCUUCAGAAGGCGUUGGUACAGAUACUCACAGACUCGACACCUGUAUGAUGUUAUAUCAUCAUCAUGUGACCUGAACUGACCGCUCACUCCAUAUCCUCCCUAGCUGCAUCCCAAAUAGCAUCCUAUUCCCUUUCUAGUACACUACUCAUGACCAGGACCCUGCACCACAAGGUCAAAAGUAGUGCACUAUUAUAAGGAAUGGAGUGAAAUUUGGAAUGUAAUCAACUGUCUUUAUUACCUGUAAGCCUAUCUAGUCUGGACCACCAGGCAGUGUAGCCAUACAUGUACUGAAACCUUAUAACACAGUCCUACAGUAACCAAUACAGCUCUGUUCUACUCAUCACAAAACUCCACUCUAUAAGGGGUAAACCAAUCACACGUGCUGUGAUGUCAUCAUAGAAUCGCUCUCAUGAUAGGCCAUUGUAUUUUUCUGGGGACUUCCAACUCUGUGCAAAGUACAGCUUCACUUGAGUCGACCAUGAAAUCUUUAUAAAGGGACGUUAAUAAUACGAGAAUAUACGAACGUAGUGCAGAAACGAUUAUCAUUUAAAAAGCUUUUGACGGGCGAUAUUUAACUGACAUAGUAACAACGACAAGGUGAUCUUUAAAAUGAUUUAUGGCAUAUAAAUCUCUAUGUUUGGCUAAAGCCUCUUAGAACUAACGGUUGCUUUGAUAGAUAGAAGGGGUUAGAAGACAUUAAAAAGAGUAAGAAAAAAAAAAGUGAAGCACAAUUGAAUAAAACAGAUUUUUUUUUGUUGCAGACUCUGGCUAGUUUACAAAGAGAAACUGAUCAUCAAUAAUAACAUCGUUCACAAAGAGAAACCGAUCAUCAAUAAUAACAUAGCCUCUACUGUUAGUGUGGGUGGUUAGGGGCGGGGUCAGAAAACAGCCAAUAGAAAUGGUCCUAGAGGAAACAGAUAAGGGCUGAUACAGUGAUCCAUCCAUCGGACAGACUGCCUGUGUCGGACAGACUGCCUGUGUCGGACAGACUGUUGGUGAAAGGGUGUAAAGACUGUUGGUGAAAGGGUGUAAAGACUGUUGGUGAAAGGGUGUAAAGACUGUUGGUGAAAGGGUGUUGGUGAAAGGGUGUUGGUGAAAGGGUGUUGGUGAAAGGGUGUAAAGACUGUACUCUAUGGGCUGCUUUAAGCGGAACGACCUAAUGAGGGGGACAGAGGGAGGAAGAGAGCGAGAACGGUGAAGACGGGGGUGAAGAGAGAGGUGGGGUUGAAGGGCGAGGGGGGUGAAGAGAGAGGUGGGGUUGAAGGGCGAGGGAGGGGGGUGAAGAGAGAAGGGAUGUUGGUAUAUAGAGGAAUAUUAAAAUAAGCAAUAAAAUCACUGAUCAAUAAAAUCUAAUACAACUAAAUCAGACACGGAUAACAAUGGGAGAGUAAUUAUGUUGUUGUUGACUUUAUCCAUACUAGCUAGUGUCUAACUCAGGGUGUGACAUCAAUGUGUGUGUGUGUGUGUGUGUGUGUGUGAGAGAGUGUGAGUGUGAGUGUGUGAGUGUGAGUGUGUGUGUGUGUGUGUGAGUGUGUGUGUGUGUGUGAGUGUGUGUGUGUGUGUGUGUGAGUGUGUGUGUGUGUGUGUGUGCACGUACUCUUACGAGUGAGUCAAGAGGGAUGUGUGUGUGUCAGACUGCAGCUCGGUACAACUGUAGAGUUAUCAAGUCUCUCUGCUCCACCCACAGACAGUAACUGACGAGGAACAGCAACAUCACUUCAGCACAAACACAGAGAGGGCUGGUAACAACUACUGUGUGUGUGUGUGAGUAAGUAUUCUUACGAGUGAGUCGACAGGGAUGUGCGUAAUUUUGCCAGCUAGCGGAGCGACUUAAGUUAGGCCCACUCCUCCGCCUGGCUGAACAGAAAUAGUCAUGACCUGCAGUGUCCCGUCAUCUUAUUGUGCUACAGUAACGUCAUGUGAAAAGGUUAAAGCAUUAUUCAUGGAGUGCAAAUUCCGUCACAAUAUUGUUUAUAACGUUCGUUUUGAACUGAUGCACGACUGAGCAUUCUACUCAAUGAGCGCCGAUGAAGAUUUCAUCAAAAGUGCAUUACAGUGGCUUGGGAAUACAAUGACACUCAAAAGGAGGCAAAUAAUUAGUAGGAAAACCUUUUGAUGUCGCCAGAUUGACUUUAGAUACAGUAUAACGUUAGCUAGCUAGCUAAGAUUGAGGGGAGGCCACCAGAUAGACUUUAAAUGCAGUGUAACGUUAGCUAGCUAGCCACCAGAUUGACUUUAGAUGCAGUGUAACGUUAGCUAGCUAGCCACCAGAUUGACUUUAAAUGCAGUGUAACGUUAGCUAGCUAGCCACCAGAUUGACUUUAGAUGCAGUGUAACGUUAGCUAGCUAGCCACCAGAUUGACUUUAGAUGCAGUGUAACGUUAGCUAGCUAGCCACCAGAUUGACUUUAGAUGCAGUGUAACGUUAGCUAGCUAGCCACCAGAUUGACUUUAGAUGCAGUGUAACGUUAGCUAGCUAAAAUGGAGGUGAGGCCAUUUUUUUUAUUAGGUUUUUGACAAACUUUGCUAGCUAAUGACAACAUUGCAAUCAAAGUAAAUUUGAAGGCAUGAUAACGCUUGCAAACUUUUUCCUACUAAAUACUUGACUACUUUAGCAAUGUCAUUGUAUUUCCAGAAUUACUUUUUUUUAAUCGCAACUUUAGGGCGCCGCAGAUAGAGGCCUGCUUGAGAACGUUCACAACAAUGGCAUGAUGCGACAUAGUGAGGGAGGUGCAUCCUAUGAAUAUGUACUCUCUGUGUGUGUGUGUGUGUAUAUAUAUAAAAAAUAUAUGAGUCGUAGUCGUUCAGUCAUGCUGGGUAUUAUAUGACCAGUGGGGCUCUUCUCUAGCCAGUCUAGGGGUUCAAAUCUGUCUGCUAGAUAGCCCUGAGACGACUGGAUUAAAAGACUGUUGUUGUUCUCAAUACUUCAUGUGGGAUUAAGAUCCAAAGUCUCGUUUUACAACAACCAUCAGAAGGCAGAGAUGAUUUGCUUGUAAACAGUUCCACAACCCUUGCACGCCAUGGAGUCUUGAGCCGCAGCUUUCCAAAAUCAUUUUGGUUGAAGUGUAUUUAGAUGUUAUGUUUGCUUUGGCAACUUUGGGCUUUGUGGGGCUAUGUAGAUGCUACUAAGGUAGUUGUGGUUGGAACUGGACUAUUUAGCAGACAGAAUGUCACCCUUUCUGUUUGUGUUUUAACUACAGUCCUGUAGAGUUUAGUCCAAUACUGUUACUACUGUCCUACAACUACAGUAACAACACUCCUAACAAUUCUCUGUACGCUUCAGCAAGUCAUAUCAAUAACCAGCCAUCAAUAAGACCCUGGUUUUCAUUUGGUAGUUGUUUGUUGACAAGUUAACGGGCCGUUUGUUGUGUCUCAGUGUAACGGAUCUUAACGGUGGGCUCAGUGAUUUAAAUAUCAACACUGACUGUGUACCCUAUGAGUAUAAGGCUGAAGAUCAACAACAGAGGCAGUCUUGUGGAAUCCUUAGGUUCUUCACAGGAACGAAGAGGAUCAGUCAGAAUGUAGGGAAUAGGGUGCCAUUUCAUCUGGGCAGGGUUUCCUUCAGUUAAACAGUUAAGAUUUUAGACCAGCGUUUCCCCAACUCAGUCACCCCCCCCCUCUCCCGGGUGCACCUUUUGGUUCUGACCCAGCACUACACAGCUGAUUCAAUAACCAACUCAUCGGCAAGCUUUGAUUAUUUGAAUCAG
This 4063-nucleotide long non-coding RNA is filed under the name Salmo salar (Atlantic salmon). RNAcentral's name for it is "lncRNA (ENSSSAG00000087480.1)". The record is from RNAcentral. Lineage: Eukaryota; Metazoa; Chordata; Actinopteri; Salmoniformes; Salmonidae.